UUCAAAAAUAUGAUUCAUUCAUUAUGGAUAAUGCAUUUCUAGUCCAUGUGUUCAUAUUCCAAAACUUUGGUUCAAACUUGAUUUUGGAAGAAAGAACUACAAUUUGAAAAUGAGAUUUUGUUUCAUCCAAAUAACCAUUUUCAUUUACAAUUGUCCAUUUCAUUCCAUACAAGACCAUUUACAAAGUUUCACACAAAAAAUUAUAAAAAAAUUGGCACUUUGACUAAAGGGUGACUUUGGUCAAUAGUUGGCUUUUUGGUAAACUUUGACCGAAGCCAACCAUCUAUUUUUCUAAGUCUAAAUCCUGAAUUUCAUUGAUCUUGAGUCUUCAUGUUGCAUCAUCUCAUUAAAUCUUCCAUCUAAGCUUACUUCUAUUACAAGAAAGUCUUAGUUUGCAUUUGGCCAUGGAAUGUUCAUGAUGCUCAUGUUUUGAGGUCUUGAUUCAAUGCAAAGUCAGCCCUGCAAUGCAUUAAUAUAAAUAAGCAAACCAAAAACCAUUACAAUUACUAAUUUGUUAGCUUACUUUCAUAUUAGCAAGUGUUUAACAUGUGGGCAUUCAAGGCACACUAGCUAAUUCAAUCCAAACAAUACAAUCAAGGUUCACAAAGCUAAUCAUGGUGAAAGGGACUAGGUCAGUAACCUUGUGCUUCCAAUAUCAUGACAAUCCAAAUCAUCUCAAGACAUCACCAUGUUAACAUAAUAGCAAUUAACCUAUUGUGAUGAGCCAACCCCCAUGAGCAAUUAACAUUUUAAUAGUCCUAAGCAUAAUGCAGACCACAAAUGAACAUUGGCAAUUAAAGCUCACAUAUCUAACAAAUAUGAAAACUCACCAAGUACCUAAAACAACAACUUCUAACAGGGUUUAACUUUGGAAUAACAACAUAACUGAAUUUUGAUUGAAUUCAAACUAACAAUUAACUAUAAAAUAAAUUCAUAACCAACUUCUCAUUGAACUAACAUAAGAAAAUUCGAAUUAACUUCAAAAUAACCCUGCAUUCUUUUGCUAACAGAAGGAAGUGUGAUCACUUAUUAACCGAAACACCAAUUCUUGCAUAUCACUAAGUGAAGUCUUAACUAACAGCUAACACAUCAUAACUGACUAACAAAUUAUUUAACAGAAAAUCUAACUUCUAACUAAUCUAACUAAUCUAACUUCUAACUUCUAACUAAUCUCUGUUAAAUCGAAAUUCUAUAAAAUCAGGUUUCAAUAAACAAACGCAGGAGCAGCAAAACAUGAUAGCACAUACAGAAGCAGCAAAAAUGCAAAAACACAUCACGAAAUCAACAACUUUUUUCUAUCCUAUAAUCUACAGAAGCAAGAAGAAGAAUGAGGCAUUGAAGAAGAAGAACUGAAACGAGGGAGAAGAGGGGAGAAGCUUACUAGAAAAGUCAUCGCUGUAGUUGGAGCAAAAGAGCCACCGUGUCGGAAAUUCUCAUCCGUACUUACAAUUCGUGCUCAUUUAUUUGCAUUUUCCUGAGCAUCCACGAUCUUCUGUCAAUUUCAUACUGCAAAUUCGAAUCAAGCUUGAACCACCGAAUCUGAGUCAAGGAGAAUCGCUGCAAUUUCGUGGUGGUUGUGAAGUUCGUUUGAAGUUCUGAAGUCGCGUUUGCAAGAGGUGGUUAUUGAAUUCAAAUUCAGUUGGAUACGGACUCGGUAAUUGUUGAAUUUAGGUUCAAUUUUUCUGGUUUAAUGGAGUUUUAAUUUGGAGCGUGAAGAAGAACCAUGCUUCAGGUUCGUCUGGUGAGAAUCCUUUUUUCGCGUGACCUUAGCUUUUUUGGACGUUGCUUGCUUCGGGUUUGGUUUUUAGAUUAAUU
RNAcentral lists this long non-coding RNA (1815 nucleotides) under Lathyrus oleraceus (garden pea). RNAcentral's name for it is "Pisum sativum (pea) long non-coding RNA (PSAT_LNC034972)". The record is from RNAcentral. Lineage: Eukaryota; Viridiplantae; Streptophyta; Magnoliopsida; Fabales; Fabaceae.